RNAcentral lists this ribosomal RNA (253 nucleotides) under uncultured bacterium. RNAcentral describes it as "partial 16S ribosomal RNA". It matches the Rfam family "Bacterial small subunit ribosomal RNA", at positions 524 to 776 of the family's 1533-position model. The record is from RNAcentral.
GACAGAGGGGGCAAGCGUUGCUCGGAAUUACUGGGCGUAAAGGGCGCGUAGGCGGGAUGGCAAGUCGGUCGUGAAAUCCCUCGGCUCAACCGAGGAACGUCGAUCGAUACUGCUGUUCUUGAGGAUUGCAGAGGAGACUGGAAUUCCCGGUGUAGCGGUGAAAUGCGCAGAUAUCAGGAGGAACACCGGUGGCGAAGGCGGAUCUCUGGGCCAUUACUGACGCUGAGGAGCGAAAGCGUGGGGAGCGAACAGG